AUAUAUAGUAGUGAUUGGUGAACGAUUCAUGAACAAGGGCGGCUGCGUGUUAUUGGAAGUAGGGUUGUCCUGACUCCCGUGGAUUUGUGGUCGCUCUCAAAUACCAACCGAGCAAGCCUUUUGCCCUAGAUCCCAGCCAUGUCUUCCAAGCAAGGUGGAAAAGCAAAGCCCUUGAAGGCACCCAAGGCCGACAAGAAGGAGUACGACGAGUCCGAUUUGGCCAACCUUCAGAAGAAGAAAGAGGAGGAAAAGGCACUGAAGGAGCUUAGAGCCAAGGCACAACAGAAAGGGUCCUUCGGAGGUUCUGGGCUCAAGAAAAGCGGGAAGAAAUGAGUGGGUUUAUCGAACCCCAAUCCGGGAUACAAUAUAUUGUUCUUGAGCUGUAAUUAUGAACUCUGUUGUGUUAACGUCUUUCAAUUCAUGUUUUUGUCGAGCAUCUAAUGUGCGCGAGAUGCUCGAGUGAAUUUCAGUGUGUAACAUUAUGACCCGGUCUAAAUAAAUUGAGUUGUCCAAUCUUAAGCUUU
Long non-coding RNA from Malus domestica (apple), 524 nucleotides. RefSeq lists it as uncharacterized. The record is from RefSeq and is a predicted model, not a curated record. NCBI's taxonomy places the organism in Eukaryota, Viridiplantae, Streptophyta, Magnoliopsida, Rosales, Rosaceae.